RNAcentral lists this unclassified non-coding RNA (279 nucleotides) under plant metagenome. RNAcentral's name for it is "partial contains small subunit ribosomal RNA, internal transcribed spacer 1, and 5.8S ribosomal RNA". The record is from RNAcentral.
UUUCCGUAGGUGAACCUGCGGAAGGAUCAUUAACGCAUCACGGAGGUACAAGGGCUUCCGCUGAUCCGAAACGUUGUCCACGCACGAGUGCCCUUACACACCUCGAUCUUAUCCCCAUGUGCACCACCGCGCGGGUCCCCGCUUUGCUACUUUGGUGGGGGGCUUUCGUUUUAACUCAAAGUUUGUAUGCGCUUUUGAAUGUAUUUUUUGUUUUUGUGUUCACGCAACCAUUACAACUUGCAACAUCGGUUCUCUUGGCUAUCGCAUCGGUGAAGAACC